CAAGUCGAACGCGGUUUCCUCGCAAGGGGAAACUGAGUGGCGAACGGGUGAGUAACGCGUGGGUGACCUACCUCCGAGUGGGGGAUAACGUCCCGAAAGGGACGCUAAUACCGCAUGACAUCCUGCCCUUGAACGGGUGGAGAUCAAAGCUGGGGAUCGCAAGACCCGGCGCUUGAAGAGGGGCCCGCGUCCGAUUAGCUAGUUGGUGAGGUAACGGCUCACCAAGGCGACGAUCGGUAUCCGGCCUGAGAGGGCGGACGGACACACUGGGACUGAGACACGGCCCAGACUCCUACGGGAGGCAGCAGUGGGGAAUUGUUCACAAUGGGCGCAAGCCUGAUGACGCAAUGCCGCGUGGAGGAUGAAGGUCUUCGGAUUGUAAACUCCUGUUGCCAGGGACGAAUGGCUCCGACCUAAUACGUCGGAGAAUGACGGUACCUGGUGAGGAAGCCCCGGCUAACUCUGUGCCAGCAGCCGCGGUAAUACAGAGGGGGCGAGCGUUGUUCGGAAUUACUGGGCGUAAAGGGCGCGUAGGCGGCCUCUUAAGUCGAACGUGAAAUCCCCGGGCUCAACCCGGGAACUGCGUCCGAUACUGGGGGGCUUGAAUCCGGGAGAGGGAUGUGGAAUUCCAGGUGUAGCGGUGAAAUGCGUAGAUAUCUGGAGGAACACCGGUGGCGAAGGCGGCAUCCUGGACCGGUAUUGACGCUGAGGCGCGAAAGCCAGGGGAGCAAACGGGAUUAGAUACCCCGGUAGUCCUGGCCCUAAACGAUGAAUGCUUGGUGUGGCGGGUAUCGAUCCCUGCCGUGCCGAAGCUAACGCAUUAAGCAUUCCGCCUGGGGAGUACGGUCGCAAGGCUGAAACUCAAAGGGAAUUGACGGGGGCCCGCACAAGCGGUGGA
This 898-nucleotide ribosomal RNA is filed under the name uncultured Acidobacteriota bacterium. RNAcentral's name for it is "bacterial SSU rRNA". It matches the Rfam family "Bacterial small subunit ribosomal RNA", at positions 58 to 936 of the family's 1533-position model. Lineage: Bacteria; Pseudomonadati; Acidobacteriota. The record is from RNAcentral.